Molecule: ribosomal RNA, 448 nt
Filed under: uncultured bacterium
Lineage: Bacteria
Description: SSU rRNA
Rfam family: Bacterial small subunit ribosomal RNA
Source: RNAcentral
AGAACGAACGCUGGCGGCAGGCUUAACACAUGCAAGUCGAACGCGUGUAGCAAUACACGAGUGGCGCACGGGUGAGUAACGCGUGGAUAUCUGCCUUUUGGUUCGGAAUAACCCCGGGAAACUGGGGCUAAUACCGGAUGGUUCCUUCGGGAUAAAGAUUUAUCGCCAAAAGAUGAGUCCGCGUACGAUUAGCUAGUUGGUGAGGUAAUGGCUCACCAAGGCGACGAUCGUUAGCUGGUCUGAGAGGACGAUCAGCCACACUGGGACUGAGACACGGCCCAGACUCCUACGGGAGGCAGCAGUGGGAAUAUUGGACAAUGGGGGCAACCCUGAUCCAGCCAUGCCGCGUGAGUGAUGAAGGCCUUCGGGUUGUAAAGCUCUUUUGGCGGGGACGAUGAUGACGGUACCCGCAGAAUAACGCCCCGGCUAACUUCGUGCCAGCAGCCGC